UACCCGCCUGGAAUUAAGCAUAUCAAUAAGCGGAGGAAAAGAAACCAACAGGGAUUCCCUUAGUAACGGCGAGCGAAAAGGGAUGAGCCCAGCAUGUAAAUCUCCGGUUUCCGGCGAAUUGUAGUCUGGAGUAGCAACUCCUGGUGCCGUGCCGGCCCAAGCAUCUUGGAAUAGAUCGCCUCAGAGGGUGAGAGCCCCGUAGGUCGGUGCGAGCUCCUACACGGAGUGCUCACGCAGAGUCGGGUUGUUUGGGAAUGCAGCCCCAAUUGGGUGGUAAACCCCAUCUAAGGCUAAAUACCUGUGGGAGACCGAUAGCAAAAAAGUACCUCGAGGGAACGAUGAAAAGACCGCUGGCAAGCGAGUGAAAGAGUGCAUGAAAUUGUAUAGUGGGAAGGGAUGGCCUGGCGUAUUGCCCGCGGGUAUACACUGCUCCUUGAGCUCUUGAAUACACCGUGGGCUGGCUGGUGCCGACACCUGCGCUUGCAAAUCCCCAAACUAAGGUGUUUGGCUCUUCAAGCGCGGGUGUUGAGGUUGAUCGUCGCUCUGUUUUAAACUGCGUCGACAAAGCACCAGCUGAAGCCUGUCCAUCUACCCGUC
RNAcentral lists this ribosomal RNA (597 nucleotides) under Cladophora sp. HUN1444. Its description in RNAcentral is "partial 28S ribosomal RNA". It matches the Rfam family "Eukaryotic large subunit ribosomal RNA", at positions 22 to 653 of the family's 3401-position model. The record is from RNAcentral. Lineage: Eukaryota; Viridiplantae; Chlorophyta; Ulvophyceae; Cladophorales; Cladophoraceae.